This 494-nucleotide ribosomal RNA is filed under the name uncultured bacterium. Its description in RNAcentral is "partial 16S ribosomal RNA". It matches the Rfam family "Bacterial small subunit ribosomal RNA", at positions 28 to 507 of the family's 1533-position model. The record is from RNAcentral.
GACGAACGCUGGCGGCGUGCUUAACACAUGCAAGUCGAACGGAAAGGCCUGCUUUCCCUUGUGGAUUGCGGGUACUCGCGUGGCGAACGGGUGAGUAACACGUGAGUGAUCUGCCCCCAACUUGGGUAUAAGCCUGGGAAACUGGGUCUAAUUCCCGAUAGGACUGCAGGGUGGUGCCUGUGGUGGAAAACGAUUUUCUAGUGGUUGGGGAUGAGCUCGCGGCCUAUCAGCUUGUUGGUGGGGUAAUGGCCUACCAAGGCGGCGACGGGUAGCCGGCCUGAGAGGGUGGACGGCCGCAUUGGGACUGAGAUACGGCCCAGACUCCGACGGGAGGCAGCAGUGGGGAAGAAUGCACAAUGGGCGGAAGCCUGAUGCAGCGACGCCGCGUGGGGGAUGACGGCCUUCGGGUUGUAAACUCCUUGCGACCGCGAGGAAGCCACCUGGUUGGAAGGGUGGUGACGGUAGUGGUAGAAGAAGCACCGGCUAACUACGUG